This 240-nucleotide unclassified non-coding RNA is filed under the name Hevea brasiliensis (rubber tree). Lineage: Eukaryota; Viridiplantae; Streptophyta; Magnoliopsida; Malpighiales; Euphorbiaceae. The record is from RNAcentral.
GAGAGGACUUACAGUGCCGGCCUACUAUCUGAUCAGUAAAACAAAAGAGUUGGCCGACUGGUAUUUGAGAAGUUCUACCGCCGAUGAAUCUGGAGUCACCAUCGCAACAACAAACGUUGAUCCAUAUUUCUCUAUUCCUGUCAUGCCGCCCAACAACUUGUAGGCGAUAUUUCUAUCUAUACUGUUGGCACUGAUCAGCUCGUCUGGGUAAAUACGGAUGAAUUAACAAAUGCAUGUCUG